This 86-nucleotide transfer RNA is filed under the name Bacteriovoracaceae bacterium. Its description in RNAcentral is "tRNA-Leu". It matches the Rfam family "tRNA". From Rfam's summary of the family: Transfer RNA (tRNA) molecules are approximately 80 nucleotides in length. Their secondary structure includes four short double-helical elements and three loops (D, anti-codon, and T loops). Further hydrogen bonds mediate the characteristic L-shaped molecular structure. tRNAs have two regions of fundamental functional importance: the anti-codon, which is responsible for specific mRNA codon recognition, and the 3' end, to which the tRNAs corresponding amino acid is attached (by aminoacyl-tRNA synthetases). tRNAs cope with the degeneracy of the genetic code in two manners: having more than one tRNA (with a specific anti-codon) for a particular amino acid; and 'wobble' base-pairing, i.e. permitting non-standard base-pairing at the 3rd anti-codon position. The record is from RNAcentral. Lineage: Bacteria; Pseudomonadati; Bdellovibrionota; Bacteriovoracia; Bacteriovoracales; Bacteriovoracaceae.
GCCGGAGUGGCGAAAUGGUAGACGCAGCGGAUUCAAAAUCCGCCGGUGGCAACAUCAUGGGGGUUCGAUUCCCUUCUCCGGCACCA